CGCGCAGGCGGUUAUACAAGCCUGGUGUGAAAGAUCGCAGCUCAACUGCGGGACCGCACUGGGAACUGUAUGACCGGAGUUCAAGAGGGGAAGCUGGAAUUCCUGGUGUAGGGGUGAAAUCUGUAGAUAUCAGGAAGAACAUCAGUGGCGAAGGCGAGCUUCUGGCUAUGAACUGACGCUGAGGCGCGAAAGCGUGGGGAGCAAACAGGAUUAGAUACCCUGGUAGUC
RNAcentral lists this ribosomal RNA (228 nucleotides) under uncultured bacterium. RNAcentral describes it as "partial 16S ribosomal RNA". It matches the Rfam family "Bacterial small subunit ribosomal RNA", at positions 568 to 795 of the family's 1533-position model. The record is from RNAcentral.